GUUAAAACUUUCAACAACGGAUCUCUUGGUUCCGGCAUCGAUGAAGAACGCAGCGAAAUGCGAUAAUUAAUGUGAAUUGCAGAAUUCAGUGAAUCAUCGAGUCUUUGAACGCACAUUGCGCCCCCUGGUAUUCCGGGGGGCAUGCCUGUCCGAGCGUCAUU
This 161-nucleotide ribosomal RNA is filed under the name Aspergillus wentii. Its description in RNAcentral is "5.8 S ribosomal RNA". It matches the Rfam family "5.8S ribosomal RNA". Rfam says of the family: 5.8S ribosomal RNA (5.8S rRNA) is a component of the large subunit of the eukaryotic ribosome. It is transcribed by RNA polymerase I as part of the 45S precursor that also contains 18S and 28S rRNA. Lineage: Eukaryota; Fungi; Ascomycota; Eurotiomycetes; Eurotiales; Aspergillaceae. The record is from RNAcentral.